RNAcentral lists this long non-coding RNA (713 nucleotides) under Homo sapiens (human). Its description in RNAcentral is "HSALNT0264087". The record is from RNAcentral. Lineage: Eukaryota; Metazoa; Chordata; Mammalia; Primates; Hominidae.
GCCCGUGUCUGUGCGACAUUUAUAAGUCAUCUGCCAACAAUACAGGUGGAAUGCUUUUAUGAAGCCUUUUUUUGUUCCUUCUGCAGUGAUGAUCUACCAGAGAAAUCAGGGGGAAUGAAGCUGGUGAGCUGAGGCCUUGUGUUUAAAUAGCAGACCAUCCCUGGAUCUUCUAUUUCCAGGGAAUGAAACUGGUGAGCUGAGGCCCUGUGGUGGAACACAGACACUACACUCUGAACCCCGGAAGCAGGAUUCUUUCUUUUGAGAACUGUUAUUCAAAGCUACUUGAAAGUUAAUCUCUAAAACCAAAAACCACAAAACUACUCUUUCCAUGGAGCAACUCAGGGUUAUUAAAGUUUAUAGGAGGCCAUUGUUUUGGACCAGCCUCCUGCACUGGGCUCCAGCAGACCAGACCCAACCAGAAUGAAGUCGUUUGUGCUAAUGCCAUGUAAUCAAACUUAACUUUGAAAUGAGCCAGUUUUCAAAAAACCAGGAGAUUCCAGUCAACCCUGGUCAGCAUAAUAAGGACGUUUCCUCUGUUUUAAUCCUACAAGGAAAGUAACUUUGAAACCAACAAUCUGCUUUUUGUUCUGUUUCUACUUGCUUCAGCCCUUUUUUCUCUAUAAGGUCAACCUUCUCUGCUGAGCUCAUUGGAACACCCGUUCUAUUUUAUAGAAUGUGAUAUUGACAAAUUCUAGAAUUUCAAAUAAAGGCCA